AUUUCCUGAGAAGAGAAGUAAUACAUAUUACAAGCGGACUUAAGUAACCUACAAAUGAAAGCCAAAAUAAUAAUAACCUUAACAUGUUAAAAUUUUAGGUACUGCACAAUACUACUUACAACAACUGUUAAAAUUUUAGGUAUUGCACAACACUACUUACAAUAACUAUUCUACAGUAAUAAUAUGCAUCCACUGUAUGGGGAUUUUGCAGCUGCAUCCUUAAAAAUUCUGCUGAUUAAAUUAGCACAAUUGUCUUCCAUCUCUACUCCAUAAUGACCAUCUGAUAAGAGAGCAUGCAGGUGACUGUUACCAAAAGCUAUCUACAUAUUGAUAUACCAGGCUAGAAAUCCCAUAUGGGAUCACUCAUAAGGCACUACAUAUUCACACAUUCUUGGCCCCACCAAUACAACCAACACUAAUACAGUUUAUUGUUUAAUAAGCUGAAAGUUGUCCUAACCUUGUACUGGUGGCCAGGUCUGAUGCGCCAGCCAGGGCCAAGGUCAUCCAGUGUGAGGCACAGGUUGGCACCACAGUCCUGGAGAAGCAUCAUCUUUGGUUUGUCUAGAAGGGAGGCACCUCGACGCUUUUCCUGCUGUGUCACACCUGCAACAUAAGGUUGGACAAGAGUGGGCUUACAGGCGAGGGCUGCUGAGGUGUCCUGCAUGACAUGAAGAGUGACGAGUGAGAUGCAACACCCUUUCCUUCCCCACCUGAGCUCCAUCAAGCUGAGUAAAGACAGGAGUGUCAAUUCGUUCCUCCCCCAUGGUGAUGAGUCUGGUCCAGGGCUCCUCACCACCGCUGUUGCUGUUGGGCGGGGA
Molecule: long non-coding RNA, 818 nt
Organism: Scylla paramamosain (green mud crab)
Lineage: Eukaryota; Metazoa; Arthropoda; Malacostraca; Decapoda; Portunidae
Exons: 3
Source: RefSeq, a predicted model, not a curated record